Molecule: ribosomal RNA, 245 nt
Filed under: uncultured bacterium
Lineage: Bacteria
Description: partial small subunit ribosomal RNA
Rfam family: Bacterial small subunit ribosomal RNA
Source: RNAcentral
AGAAUCAACGCUGGCGGCGUGCCUAACACAUGCAAGUCGCACGAGAAAGGGGAGCAAUCCCUGAGUACAGUGGCGCACGGGUGAGUAACACGUGAAUAAUCUACCUCCGAGUGGGGAAUAACUGAAAGAAAUCUUAGCUAAUACCGCAUAACACUUACGAGUCAAAGCAGCAAUGCGCUUGGAGAGGAGUUCGCGGCCGAUUAGUUAGUUGGCGGGGUAAUGGCCCACCAAGACGAUGAUCGGUA